CAGCCGCCGCGGGAAUACGUAGGUGGCAAGCGUUAUCCGGAAUUAUUGGGCGUAAAGCACGCGCAGGCGGUUUCUUAAGUCUGAUGUGAAAGCCCCCGGCUCAACCGGGGAGGGUCAUUGGAAACUGGGAAACUUGAGUGCAGAAGAGGAGAGUGGAAUUCCACGUGUAGCGGUGAAAUGCGUAGAGAUGUGGAGGAACACCAGUGGCGAAGGCGACUCUCUGGUCUGUAACUGACGCUGAGGAGCGAAAGCGUGGGGAGCGAACAGGAUUAGAUACCCGCGUAGUCCCUGUCUCUUAUAU
This 301-nucleotide ribosomal RNA is filed under the name uncultured bacterium. Its description in RNAcentral is "partial 16S ribosomal RNA". It matches the Rfam family "Bacterial small subunit ribosomal RNA", at positions 509 to 809 of the family's 1533-position model. The record is from RNAcentral.